GAAUCCCGUCUUUGGCACGGACUGCCUGUACAUUAUGGUGUGCUCUCGAAGAGUCGAGUUGUUUGGGAAUGCAGCUCAAAAUGGGUGGUAAAUGCCAUCUAAAGCUAAAUAUUGGCGAGAGACCGAUAGCGAACAAGUACCGUGAGGGAAAGAUGAAAAGAACUUUGGAAAGAGAGUUAAACAGUACGUGAAAUUGCUGAAAGGGAAACGCUUGAAGUCAGUCGCGUUGGCUAGAAAUCAACCUUGCUUUUGCUUUGUGUACUUUCUGGUUGACGGGUCAGCAUCAAUUUUGACCACUGGAUAAAGUCUUUGGGAAUGUGGCAUCUUCGGAUGUGUUAUAGCCCAUUGUCGCAUACGGUGGUUGGGAUUGAGGAACUCAGCACGCCGCAAGGCCGGGUUUCGACCACGUUCGUGCUUAGGAUGCUGGCAUAAUGGCUUUAAUCGACCCGUCUUGAAACACGGACCAAGGAGUCUAACAUGCCUGCGAGUGUUUGGGUGGAAAAACCCAUGCGCGCAAUGAAAGUGAAAGUUGAGAUCCUCUUCAAAGGGGGAGCAUUGACGCCCAGACCAGACCUUUUGUGACGGAUCCGCGGUAGAGCAUGCAUGUUGGGACCCGAAAGAUGGUGAACUAUGCCUGAAUAGGGUGAAGCCAGAGGAAACUCUGGUGGAGGCUCGUAGCGAUUCUGACGUGCAAAUCGAUCGUCAAAUUUGGGUAUAGGGGCGAAAGACUAAUCGAACCAUCUAGUAGCUGGUUCCUGCC
Molecule: ribosomal RNA, 760 nt
Filed under: uncultured Inocybe
Lineage: Eukaryota; Fungi; Basidiomycota; Agaricomycetes; Agaricales; Cortinariaceae
Description: partial 28S ribosomal RNA
Rfam family: Eukaryotic large subunit ribosomal RNA
Source: RNAcentral